RNAcentral lists this non-coding RNA (29 nucleotides) under Mus musculus (house mouse). Lineage: Eukaryota; Metazoa; Chordata; Mammalia; Rodentia; Muridae. The record is from RNAcentral.
GAAGGCCACGAAAUCUCCUAAGCCUGUUU